Molecule: small nucleolar RNA, 82 nt
Organism: Acomys russatus (golden spiny mouse)
Lineage: Eukaryota; Metazoa; Chordata; Mammalia; Rodentia; Muridae
Source: RefSeq, a predicted model, not a curated record
UGAGUCUAGGACACCUCAGCAGUACUGUAGUCUCCUGAGGAAUGUGUUGUGAGAAAGCCAAACUUGGAGAUUUGAGAAUUAA